This 282-nucleotide long non-coding RNA is filed under the name Homo sapiens (human). Its description in RNAcentral is "LHRI_LNC177.1". The record is from RNAcentral. Lineage: Eukaryota; Metazoa; Chordata; Mammalia; Primates; Hominidae.
GGCUCCUCCCUGCGUCUCUUUCUGGGCCGUGGAGCUGUCCGCUCUGAAACCUGAGGAAGUCGUAGUUCAGGGAGGGGUAGCUCUUGCACCUAGGCCGUUAGGAACGAGUUUUAGGUUCGAAUCCCAUCUUAUGGAAGGUGGUAUUGGUCCCUUGGGUGUCCCACCCGUCUCAGCCAAACUGCGGGCCAUUUCCCGGGGCGAGCAAGGGGAGUUACCGCGCCAGUGGGUGGACUCGCCGCCUCUCGGAGUCGGGAGGAAGUCGAGCUGGGGUGCAGUUACGAG